CAUCAGCAGGCUCCGCUUGAUCAGCCACCCUCUAGUAGACAGCAACAACAAGGCUUCCUUCAUUGCCUCUGUCUCUAACUCUCACUCAUAGGCUUUCAACUCGCUCAUGGAUGUUCUUUUCGCUUAACCGUCCACAAAACCCCAGAAACAAUAAUAAUUCUUUACAGAAGGCAGCAGAGAAAGACACAUGCAAGAUGCACAGUUUGGUUCUGAUGUAGACUAAUUAGUAUUUCCGUAGGGACUGAAAUCCAACCAUCUGAUUGUAAACCAGAAGUUUCCACAGCUAUCUGUCACAAGUACCCAUUAACCUCUCUCACCAGGGGAUGUGAAUGGGAUGUGAAUGGAGCCCACAAACAAGAGUUUCUAAACAAAACCGGAGAGAAGCUGGAAAUGGAGAUGCUGGAAUAACUUCCGUUAAUGACCAGAAGCGUAAUCCCCCAAACACCUACUGGACCUGCUGGCCUAGAUUACUGGACAAACUCCUUUUUAAUGAAGAGUCAUGCUUGUUACGUAAAAGAAACAGCAACAACUUCACAUUCCUUUGCAAAUACAGCCCCAGGCUGUGCUCUGACCAGAAAAAGAGAUAAAUUUGUCAUGCUCCACUGUCCUGAGAUCCUGAUGUGAAGGUGUUGGCACAGAAAUGCUUCCCAAGAAAUGGAAGGAAAAUCUCCUCAACUUUAGACACUCUGGCAAGAAAGGACCAAAGCAUUUUAGUAUCUGAUGAGAACUUCCCUACAUGGUGCAGACACAGGACUAAGCUUCCCCUGUCCUGCAUCUCCUCAGUCCAUCCACUUAGCUCAGAG
Molecule: long non-coding RNA, 803 nt
Filed under: Numida meleagris (helmeted guineafowl)
Lineage: Eukaryota; Metazoa; Chordata; Aves; Galliformes; Numididae
Description: lncRNA (ENSNMEG00000015235.1)
Source: RNAcentral